Molecule: ribosomal RNA, 439 nt
Filed under: uncultured bacterium
Lineage: Bacteria
Description: partial 16S ribosomal RNA
Rfam family: Bacterial small subunit ribosomal RNA
Source: RNAcentral
CUACGGGGUGCUCCAGUGGGGAAUAUUGCGCAAUGGAGGAAACUCUGACGCAGCCAUGCCGCGUGAGUGAAGAAGGCCCUAGGGUUGUAAAACUCUUUCAGUCGUGAAGAUGAUGACGGUAACGACAGAAGAAGCACCGGCUAACUCCGUGCCAGCAGCCGCGGUAAUACGGAGGGUGCUAGCGUUGUUCGGAUUUACUGGGCGUAAAGGGCGCGUAGGCGGAUAAAUCAGUCAGAGGUGAAAGCCCCGGGCUUAACCUGGGAACUGCCUUUGAUACUGUUUAUCUAGAGUACGAGAGAGGGUGGUGGAACUCCAAGUGUAGAGGUGAAAUUCGUAGAUAUUUGGAAGAACACCAGUGGCGAAGGCGGCCACCUGGCUCGGUACUGACGCUGAGGCGCGAAAGCGUGGGGAGCAAACAGGAUUAGAUACCCGUGUAGUC